AUUGAACGCUGGCGGCAGGCCUAACACAUGCAAGUCGAACGGUAACAGGAAACAGCUUGCUGUUUCGCUGACGAGUGGCGGACGGGUGAGUAAUGUCUGGGAAACUGCCUGAUGGAGGGGGAUAACUACUGGAAACGGUAGCUAAUACCGCAUAACGUCGCAAGACCAAAGAGGGGGACCUUCGGGCCUCUUGCCAUCGGAUGUGCCCAGAUGGGUUUAGCUAGUAGGUGGGGUAACGGCUCACCUAGGCGACGAUCCCUAGCUGGUCUGAGAGGAUGACCAGCCACACUGGAACUGAGACACGGUCCAGACUCCUACGGGAGGCAGCAGUGGGGAAUAUUGCACAAUGGGCGCAAGCCUGAUGCAGCCAUGCCGCGUGUAUGAAGAAGGCCUUCGGGUUGUAAAGUACUUUCAGCGGGGAGGAAGGGAGUAAAGUUAAUACCUUUGCUCAUUGACGUUACCCGCAGAAGAAGCACCGGCUAACUCCGUG
Molecule: ribosomal RNA, 490 nt
Filed under: uncultured bacterium
Lineage: Bacteria
Description: partial 16S ribosomal RNA
Rfam family: Bacterial small subunit ribosomal RNA
Source: RNAcentral